Molecule: non-coding RNA, 85 nt
Organism: Marasmius fiardii PR-910
Lineage: Eukaryota; Fungi; Basidiomycota; Agaricomycetes; Agaricales; Marasmiaceae
Source: the annotation of a GenBank genome assembly
GCCGGUUUAGCUUAGUGGUAGAGCGUUGCACUUGUACCGAUUUGUGGCAAUGCAAAGGUCGGUUGUUCAAUCCAGCCAACCGGCA